RNAcentral lists this ribosomal RNA (422 nucleotides) under Boophis majori. RNAcentral describes it as "partial 16S ribosomal RNA". It matches the Rfam family "Bacterial large subunit ribosomal RNA", at positions 1980 to 2568 of the family's 2925-position model. The record is from RNAcentral. Lineage: Eukaryota; Metazoa; Chordata; Amphibia; Anura; Mantellidae.
AUAAGGACUAGUAUCAACGGCAUCACGAGGAUCUUACUGUCUCCCCACUCUAAUCAGUGAAACUGAUCUUCCCGUGAAGAAGCGGGAAUAUAUAUAUAAGACGAGAAGACCCCAUGGAGCUUUAAACCCAACAGCACCUAUUCUUUUUAAGCCCACCCAUUCAUAUAGUAAAUGCUUGUUUGGUUUUAGGUUGGGGUGACCGCGGAGUAAAAAUUAACCUCCACGAAAAAAGGCAUAAAAGCCUUAUCAAAGAAUUACACUUCUAUGAAUUAGUAAACUAAUUUUUGAUGAUCCGAUAUUCGAUCAACGAACCAAGUUACCCUGGGGAUAACAGCGCAAUCCACCUCAAGAGCUCCUAUCGACAAGUGGGUUUACGACCUCGAUGUUGGAUCAGGGUACCCCAGUGGUGCAGCAGCUACUAA